CACUCCUACGGGGGCAGCAGUGGGGAAUAUUGGACAAUGGGCGCAAGCCUGAUCCAGCCAUGCCGCGUGAGUGAUGAAGGCCCUAGGGUUGUAAAGCUCUUUCACCGGUGAAGAUAAUGACGGUAACCGGAGAAGAAGCCCCGGCUAACUUCGUGCCAGCAGCCGCGGUAAUACGAAGGGGGCUAGCGUUGUUCGGAUUUACUGGGCGUAAAGCGCACGUAGGCGGACUAUUAAGUCAGGGGUGAAAUCCCGGGGCUCAACCCCGGAACUGCCUUUGAUACUGGUAGUCUUGAGUUCGAGAGAGGUGAGUGGAAUUCCGAGUGUAGAGGUGAAAUUCGUAGAUAUUCGGAGGAACACCAGUGGCGAAGGCGGCUCACUGGCUCGAUACUGACGCUGAGGUGCGAAAGCGUGGGGAGCAAACAGGAUUAGAUACCCGAGUAGUCCCA
This 446-nucleotide ribosomal RNA is filed under the name uncultured organism. RNAcentral describes it as "partial 16S ribosomal RNA". It matches the Rfam family "Bacterial small subunit ribosomal RNA", at positions 334 to 797 of the family's 1533-position model. The record is from RNAcentral.